UUUAAUUACUCCAAAAUGAAAUCAUUUUCAAAACAAUUCAGGCAGAGAACCAGCAAGAGUAGAAAAACGAGUCUCCAGAAACAGAGUACUUCAAUUGUUUUCUUGUACCCGAGGCAAACAUGUGAGUGAUAGUUAUCAUAUUGCUCAAACAUGAAACAUUUUUCAGAUGAUCACUAAUUACAACAAGAACACCGUUCAUCACAACAGAGUUUGAUCACUCCAAUAGCUUUGCAUCAUAGAGCUGCCCUGGCGCUAUCCUGAGAUCCUAGUGCAUGUACCAACGUGCUAACAUCCAUGUCUUGGGUUGGACCAAAAGAUCCCACCUAAAACGUAAUGCACUUCUCCGACAUGCCAAACCCUCUGAAAUCCAUCCGAGCAACAGCAUCAUGGUCAAUGCCCUCGGGUUCAUUCUGGCCAGCCUGCGCUUUCUGAAACCAUUUUAUAUCCAGUCAUUACUAUGAGCUAGCAGGCAGAGGCAGUUGUUCAUGAGGUUUGAUCUUGAGAAAAACAGCAAAGGUUAAAGGUUGGAGCGAGUUUUGAUGUGGACUCAAAUCCUGCUAAUUAACAAGGUGAAUAUGAUGCACCAGAGAAGCAAGUUGUGAACGAAAAUCCUGAUUGUUGUUUUUAGGGUAAUCCCUCCGUCCCAUAAUAUAAGACCGUUUUUGACAACACUAGUGUAAAAAACACGCUUAUAUUAUGGAACGGAGGGAGUAGUCAUCUGUAAAUGAAAAUAAAAUAAUCACACGUCAAAUUAAAGAUGGUGUCCAGUGUUGAUUUUAUUUAAACUGUUCUCCUAGUCUUUGCUAUCAUUUCCAAGUAAAAGUAACUUCAGGUUAAGGCAGACAACAGCCCAUCUUUUCUUUCAUGGUAAUAUGUGUCUCAUUUAUAUCAUAAAGAUCAAAUUGCAAGUCACGUAAAGACCGACAUGACAAAACUAAAAUGAUAGCAGAACAUCGCUAAGCUUGACACCGACGUCCGUCACCUGCCUCCGACACCACCACAGCAGCCACCAAAGGAAAAAAAUGACGGAUCACCUCCUCACCCGAGCUUCCAUCGCUGAUAUGCAGCUUUGCGGACCUCCAAGGUGGCUCACCAAAGAUGAAGCCAUUGUCGUUGAACAAAUCAGACCGGGGCAACACCCCAGACACGCCAUAAUAAGGUUGCAAAGUUCAAGGUACAGUAAUUUGUGUUGCUUGUGUUAGGAAGAGCAAGAUGCAACUGGCACAGACCAACCUAGACAGUCAAAAGAAAAUACCACGAUUGAAAGUCUGAAUUCAAUCCGAAUUCAACUCGAUUUAGAUAACCCUUGGCACAUGUUAUCCUCUACACGAUAUCCUCAAUGCUUUCCUGAAUCACGUAAGUAUCUGUUUCUCAUGGUCCUGAAUCAUGAAUUUCUAAUAAAACGAAGAGCUAUUGAUAAGAUUUAAUUCAAUAAACUAAGACUUUAGUUUCUUAUAAGCCGAAGAACUGUUUCAUACUUAGGUGAAGAGGUACCUUCGAAAUAUGACUGUUGAUAAAAUCGGCUGUGGUUACUUUAUUUGGCACUGCACCAAUGGUUGCUAGAUUUUGCUGCAUGCCAACUAUGUAGCAUCAGAAGCUUAACUUGCCCAUUACAAAACAAUGGGGGUAACAUCAGGUUUGGCCUCUGCAGUCUGAACCAAAACACCACAUGCAUGUAACACAGGAGAUGCAUCUCCAAUAGAAGAUGCAAAUUUGGAGAUGUAACACAGGAGAUGUUCUCCAAAAAGUGCUUUUUGCAUCUACAUCUUCUAUUGGAGAUGCUCUAAUUAUCAGUGAUGUCUCCCUUGUGUUUAGUAAUAAAAAUCUUUAAGAAAUAUGACAUUAAUGGCAUAUCUCAUGCUUAUUGGUAUGUAGAAUGUAUUCUAUGUUAGAAAACUGCAGCAUAUGCAGCCUAACCUAAUUUGGUCUUGCUAUAAUAAAGAAGACAUUAUUCUACAAAUGCAUCAACCACAAAAAAAAGGCAGCCCGGUGCAUAUAGCUCCCGCUUGCGCAGGGCCGGGGGAAGGGUCCGACCACUUUGGGUCUAUACUACGCAGCCUUUCUUUCUACAUUUCUGUAAGAGUCUGUUUCCAGGACUUGAACCCGUGACCUCAUGGUCACAAGGCAGCAGCUUUACCACUGCGCCAAGGCUCCCCUUCAAUUAGAGGAACAACAUGGAUGACAUAUGUUGAGAAAAUGAGAAACGGAAAGCAAGUUUGAAAGAUGAAAUAUAACCAAAUUAGGAACAACAUGCAGAAUAUCGGUUGGUUCGGGACAUGAAGUAUGGCGCUUCCAUUCUCCAAGAUGUACACGACGGAUGAAAUGAAUGACGAUUGUCCUGCACACACAGAAG
Molecule: long non-coding RNA, 2353 nt
Filed under: Triticum aestivum (bread wheat)
Lineage: Eukaryota; Viridiplantae; Streptophyta; Magnoliopsida; Poales; Poaceae
Description: long non-coding RNA (TAES_LNC028240)
Source: RNAcentral